GACUACAGCCAUGCCACCUUGAACAUGCCCGACCUCAUCUGAUCUCAGAAGCUAAGCAGGGUUGAACCUGGUUAGUACUUGGAUGGGAGAUCACCUAAGACCAGGUGAUGUAGGCG
This 116-nucleotide ribosomal RNA is filed under the name Pteropus alecto (black flying fox). The record is from RNAcentral. Lineage: Eukaryota; Metazoa; Chordata; Mammalia; Chiroptera; Pteropodidae.